CCUACGGGAGGCAGCAGUGAGGAAUAUUGGUCAAUGGACGAGAGUCUGAACCAGCCAAGUAGCGUGAAGGAUGACUGCCCUAUGGGUUGUAAACUUCUUUUAUAUGGGAAUAAAAUGUUCCACGUGUGGGAUUUUGUAUGUACCAUAUGAAUAAGGAUCGGCUAACUCCGUGCCAGCAGCCGCGGUAAUACGGAGGAUCCGAGCGUUAUCCGGAUUUAUUGGGUUUAAAGGGAACGUAGGUGGGUUGUUAAGUCAGUUGUGAAAGUUUGUGGCUCAACCGUAAAAUUGCAGUUGAAACUGGCAGUCUUGAGUACAGUAGAGGUGGGCGGAAUUCGUGGGGUAGCGGUGAAAUGCUUAGAUAUCACGAAGAACUCCGAUUGCGAAGGCAGUUCACUGGACUGCAACUGACACUGAGGCUCGAAAGUGUGGGUAUCAAACAGGAUUAGAUACCCCAGUAGUC
Molecule: ribosomal RNA, 460 nt
Filed under: uncultured bacterium
Lineage: Bacteria
Description: partial 16S ribosomal RNA
Rfam family: Bacterial small subunit ribosomal RNA
Source: RNAcentral